This 253-nucleotide ribosomal RNA is filed under the name uncultured bacterium. RNAcentral describes it as "partial 16S ribosomal RNA". It matches the Rfam family "Bacterial small subunit ribosomal RNA", at positions 524 to 776 of the family's 1533-position model. The record is from RNAcentral.
UACGUAGGGUGCAAGCGUUAAUCGGAAUUACUGGGCGUAAAGCGUGCGCAGGCGGUUUUGUAAGUCUGACGUGAAAUCCCCGGGCUCAACCUGGGAAUUGCGUUGGAGACUGCAAAGCUAGAAUCUGGCAGAGGGGGGUAGAAUUCCACGUGUAGCAGUGAAAUGCGUAGAGAUGUGGAGGAACACCGAUGGCGAAGGCAGCCCCCUGGGUCAAGAUUGACGCUCAUGCACGAAAGCGUGGGGAGCAAACAGG